AGCUGCGCGGUGAGCACAAAGCGAACUAUUCUUUCGCCUUUUACUAAAGAAUACCGUGUGCGCGCCGCAAAUAGCAGCAUACGCUAAUUUUUGGAGGGGAUUUUCCUUGAGGAGGAC
Molecule: small nuclear RNA, 117 nt
Filed under: Leersia perrieri
Lineage: Eukaryota; Viridiplantae; Streptophyta; Magnoliopsida; Poales; Poaceae
Description: snRNA U5
Rfam family: U5 spliceosomal RNA
About the family: U5 RNA is a component of both types of known spliceosome. The precise function of this molecule is unknown, though it is known that the 5' loop is required for splice site selection and p220 binding, and that both the 3' stem-loop and the Sm site are important for Sm protein binding and cap methylation.
Source: Rfam by way of RNAcentral